This 500-nucleotide ribosomal RNA is filed under the name uncultured bacterium. Its description in RNAcentral is "partial 16S ribosomal RNA". It matches the Rfam family "Bacterial small subunit ribosomal RNA", at positions 30 to 523 of the family's 1533-position model. The record is from RNAcentral.
AUUGAACGCUGGCGGCAGGCCUAACACAUGCAAGUCGAGCGGUAGAGAGGUGCUUGCACCUCUUGAGAGCGGCGGACGGGUGAGUAAUGCCUAGGAAUCUGCCUGGUAGUGGGGGAUAACGCUCGGAAACGGGCGCUAAUACCGCAUACGUCCUACGGGAGAAAGCAGGGGACCUUCGGGCCUUGCGCUAUCAGGUGAGCCUAGGUCGGAUUAGCUAGUUGGUGAGGUAAUGGCUCACCAAGGCGACGAUCCGUAACUGGUCUGAGAGGAUGAUCAGUCACACUGGAACUGAGACACGGUCCAGACUCCUACGGGAGGCAGCAGUGGGGAAUAUUGGACAAUGGGCGAAAGCCUGAUUCAGCCAUGCCGCGUGUGUGAAGAAGGUCUUCGGAUUGUAAAGCACUUUAAGUUGGGAGGAAGGGUCGUUACCUAAUACGUGACGAUUUUGACGUUACCGACAGAAUAAGCACCGGCUAACUCUGUGCCAGCCGCCGCCGUAA